ACCAUUUUCAUAACCUAUCAAGCUGUCAACUAUAAAUCCACAUAAUACCACCUUUCGGCCACCAUGCCCACCGGACUCCACCACCGUAAAUGUGGUUGUUUCGGACAGAUUGAUGACUAAUACUAUGGAGGAGGAUAUUGGAGAGAGUGAGGCGACACUGGUGGUGAUGGAGUCUGAUAGGUGUUGUGGUCGAAAAGUGGUGCUAUAUGGAUCUAUAGGUGGUGGCUUGGUGGGGUUGUGAAAGUGGCGGUAGUGGAGAAUUUAAGAUUUAUCUGUAAUGUUUUGAAAGAUUUAGAACUAUGAUUGCAAUUAAUUAAUUAUUUUUUUCUUUUCUUUUUGUUUUAUUUCAAUAGGAGGGUAAAAUCGUCAUUUUAUUGAAAAAAUGGAUGAAAAUGACCUUUUACGCAAUGAAAGGUGAAAUGAAGGGGUAAAAAUGCUAAAAAUGAAAGGUAGGGACGUUUUGCACAAUAAUAUUGAAAGGUAGGGACCUUUUCUGCUAAUUAUACUAAAAAAUAAAAGGUAGGGACGUUUUGCACAAUAACUUUGAAAGGUAGGGACCUUUUGUGCUAAUUACCUUUUUGAUUUAACGGAGCAUUUUAACGGAGAGUUGACAGAAGGACGUUUUGCACAAAAAAAGGUAAAGGUAAGGGUGUAAUCCGUCAAAAAAUGAAAGGUAGGGACGUUUUCCACAAAAACAUCGAAAGGUAGGGAUGUUUUGUGCUAAUUACCCG
This 731-nucleotide long non-coding RNA is filed under the name Olea europaea (common olive). RNAcentral's name for it is "long non-coding RNA (OEUR_LNC008178)". The record is from RNAcentral. Lineage: Eukaryota; Viridiplantae; Streptophyta; Magnoliopsida; Lamiales; Oleaceae.